RNAcentral lists this ribosomal RNA (781 nucleotides) under Microscleroderma sp. 1 AS-2014. Its description in RNAcentral is "eukaryotic LSU rRNA". The stretch from base 1 to 325 matches the Rfam family "Eukaryotic large subunit ribosomal RNA", at positions 40 to 358 of the family's 3401-position model. Lineage: Eukaryota; Metazoa; Porifera; Demospongiae; Tetractinellida; Scleritodermidae. The record is from RNAcentral.
ACAUCAAUAAGCGGAGGAAGAGCUACUAACCAGSAUUCCCCCAGUAACGGCGAGCGAAGCGGGAAGAGCUCCAGGAGGGUAUCCCUGGGGUCGAUUGUCAGACAAUUGUGGCCGGUAGAGGCGGSUGUUCCCGAGGGGAUCCGUCCGAAGUGGACCUGGAAAGGCACGUCGGAGAAGGUGAUAACCCCGUGCAUGGGCGGGUCGCCGAGGGUCUCUGUCGUCUUUCGAGAGUCGGGUUGUUUGAGAUCGCAGCCCAAAGUGGGUGGGAAACUCYMUCUAAAGCCGAAUAGUGGCACCAGAACGAUURCGAACAAGUACCGUGAGGGAAAGGAGAAAAGCCCUUUUAAAAGAGAGUUAAAUAGGCCGCCAAAUCGUUAGGAAGGAAACGCAUGCAGCCGAACGGGCCCUCGSCGGGUUCACGGGUGGUCGGAGGGCGGUCGCCUCGGCCGGCACCCCACGGGGUUCCCGAGGCGGGUUGUGUAUCCGCAGCCCUGCACUCUCGGCGUUGCGGGCCGACCAAGGGCGGCGGUGCCGCGGGUGAAACGGGCGAUCGGGAGGUACCGCAGCCGGCUUCGGUCGGAGGCGAACUUACGAGCCGGUCGUUCCUGUAGCCCGCGGGCCGCCGAGGAGAGGGCGACUGGUCGUCCCCUCAGCGCAGGCCCUCAGGGGCCGGAGCGCUUCUGACCGUGCAGCGGUCGCUCCGCGAAGACUGUUCGCAGUGUCCGGCGGUGGCGUGCGCGUUCGGUCGGGAGGUCGUCUCACGUCAUGCCCUGCAGCAUCU